This 24-nucleotide non-coding RNA is filed under the name Arabidopsis thaliana (thale cress). Lineage: Eukaryota; Viridiplantae; Streptophyta; Magnoliopsida; Brassicales; Brassicaceae. The record is from RNAcentral.
AACCUCAACUUUGGCCAGAUCCAU